UGAAGUAUGCUGGUGAUGAAUGUAAGUAGGUAUUCCUAAAGCUUCCAUGGCGGUAAGUCUUCUCAUGAUAAACACUAUAAACAGUGACGAUUAAUGGACCCGUUUAUUCUUUAUUGCAAUUUUUCACAAUAAUUAUAUUUUCUGAAGUCUUGACGGCUGCCGAGACAUCACCUUCAUGGAGACCAUUCCAGUCUCUCUUGUGGUGCUGGUGUGACGUCCCUGACAUUUAGGUAUCUAUCCUCGUGCAAGUUGUUACUAUAUCUUCUCUUUUUCACGUGCUGGUUAACCUAUAAAAAAUAACAAGAGGGGGAAAAAAGCAAAGGGCUGUUGUACUUCAUUUCUACAGCAUAAUACAUACUAUGAGCUGGACCAGGACUUUCAAUUUGGCCACUAGAGGUCACAUGCUUGGCAGGAAGAUCUUCACUCAUGAUGCUCCAUACUCUACACCGUCUACCUUAUCUUCACCUUGACAGCAUUUCCUGCUUGUGUAGAGCAUAUGUCAGGGGUUGAUAAGGACCUCCCUCCCUGUAUGCACUCUUCAGGGAUGUAACCCCCAGUUGGGUGAAGGCCAUAAUAAAGUAGAGUUGUGGAAGCUGGAGUAAUCUCGUAACUUGUCUUCAUCACCGCCUGCAUUCAUAGCCUCCAGUUCCAGGCUAGGUAAAAGAUGUAAGGUUAGUCCUUUCUAUGCCACUUUACAAUUUUUUUUUCUUAAACAAAGAGAUUUUACCUUUAAUAAUUCUGAUUUGGUUGGUAUUGUCAGUCAUGUAAUGAAUUAUUACAAAUUUAGUAAUGAUUUGGUAGUUUAAUGGUUUCCCCGAGUAGCAGUGACCAAGUUUAAGGCAGAGGAGUUUGUAUGUAAUAUAAAGCAAGAAAAUUAUUUGUUUUUGUGAACUGGUUUGUCCAGGCACAAAUUUUUUAACCAAAGAGAAUGGUUUAAACUGCCAUUUGUGGUAAAAUAUGAGGGUUUUAGACAGAUGUCUUGCUGGACUUGUCAAGAAAUCUUUGAUUCAUGUACCUAAAGGUAGUAAUUGUUCAUGGGUAGGAUUAUUUACAUAUUUUUGAAAGG
Long non-coding RNA from Macrobrachium nipponense, 1066 nucleotides. RefSeq lists it as uncharacterized. The record is from RefSeq and is a predicted model, not a curated record. The transcript has 3 exons. NCBI's taxonomy places the organism in Eukaryota, Metazoa, Arthropoda, Malacostraca, Decapoda, Palaemonidae.